Molecule: non-coding RNA, 190 nt
Organism: Oryza glumipatula
Lineage: Eukaryota; Viridiplantae; Streptophyta; Magnoliopsida; Poales; Poaceae
Source: Rfam
AAUUAAUGUAGUUUUACACUAUUUAUAUUCAACGUUUGACUGUUCGUCUUAUCUGAAAAAAAAAGUUUAUGAUUAGUAUUUUUAUUGUUAUUAGGUGAUAAAAUAUGAAUAUUACUUUAUGUGUGACUAAAUUUUUUAAAUAAGACAGAUAGUCAACCAUUGGACAUGAAUCUCCACGGUUGCACUUAUU